AUGCCUACGGGACGCAGCAGUGGGGAAUCUUGCACAAUGGGGGAAACCCUGAUGCAGCGACGCCGCGUGAGUGAGGAAGUAUUUCGGUAUGUAAAGCUCUAUCAGCAGGGAAGAAAAUGACGGUACCUGACUAAGAAGCCCCGGCUAACUACGUGCCAGCAGCCGCGGUAAUACGUAGGGGGCGAGCGUUAUCCGGAUUUACUGGGUGUAAAGGGAGCGCAGGCGGCGUGGCAAGUCAGAUGUGAAAACCCGGGGCCCAACCCCGGGACUGCAUUUGAAACUGCCAUGCUGGAGUGCCGGAGAGG
This 305-nucleotide ribosomal RNA is filed under the name uncultured bacterium. Its description in RNAcentral is "bacterial SSU rRNA". It matches the Rfam family "Bacterial small subunit ribosomal RNA", at positions 335 to 657 of the family's 1533-position model. The record is from RNAcentral.